CUUGGUCAUUUAGAGGAAGUAAAAGUCGUAACAAGGUUUCCGUAGGUGAACCUGCGGAAGGAUCAUUCAUAAUAAGUGUUUUAUGGCACUUUUUAAAUCCAUAUCCACCUUGUGUGCAAUGUCAGUCGAUCUUCUUCAUGGAGAUCGACCAAACAUCAACCUUUAUUUUUUAACUCUUUGUCUGAAAAAUAUUAUGAAUAAACAAUUCAAAAUACAACUUUCAACAACGGAUCUCUUGGCUCUCGCAUCGAUGAAGAACGCAGCGAAAUGCGAUACGUAAUGUGAAUUGCAGAAUUCAGUGAAUCAUCGAAUCUUUGAACGCAUAUUGCGCUCUUUGGUAUUCCGAAGAGCAUGCUUGUUUGAGUAUCAGUAAACACCUCAAAGCUUUUGGAUUUUUUAAUCGAAAAGCUUUGGACUUGAGCAAUCCCAACACCAAUCUUUUUGAGAUCGGUGGCGGGUUGCUUGAAAUGCAGGUGCAGCUGGACAUUCUCCUGAGCUAAAAGCAUAUUCAUUUAGUCCCGUCAAACGGAUUAUUACUUUUGCUGCAGCUAACAUAAAGGGAGUUUGACCGUAUUGGCUGACUGAUGCAGGAUUUCACAAGGGUCGGCAACGAUUCUUGUUAAACUCGAUCUCAAAUCAAGUAAGACUACCCGCUGAACUUAAGCAUAUCAAUAAGCGGAGGGCUUGGUCAUUUAGAGGAAGUAA
Molecule: ribosomal RNA, 705 nt
Filed under: uncultured fungus
Lineage: Eukaryota; Fungi
Description: eukaryotic LSU rRNA
Rfam family: 5.8S ribosomal RNA (bases 216-369)
Source: RNAcentral